RNAcentral lists this ribosomal RNA (253 nucleotides) under uncultured bacterium. RNAcentral describes it as "partial 16S ribosomal RNA". It matches the Rfam family "Bacterial small subunit ribosomal RNA", at positions 524 to 776 of the family's 1533-position model. The record is from RNAcentral.
UACGUAGGGUGCAAGCGUUGUCCGGAAUUAUUGGGCGUAAAGAGCUCGUAGGCGGUCUGUCGCGUCGGAUGUGAAAAUCCAGGGCUCAACCCUGGACCUGCAUUCGAUACGGGCAGACUAGAGUUCGGUAGGGGAGACUGGAAUUCCUGGUGUAGCGGUGAAAUGCGCAGAUAUCAGGAGGAACACCGGUGGCGAAGGCAGGUCUCUGGGCCGAAACUGACGCUGAGGAGCGAAAGCGUGGGGAGCAAACAGG